GACGAACGCUGGCGGCGUGCUUAACACAUGCAAGUCGAACGGAAAGGCCUCUUUCGGGGGGUACUCGAGUGGCGAACGGGUGAGUAACACGUGAGUAACCUGCCCUUGACUUUGGGAUAACUUCAGGAAACUGGGGCUAAUACCGGAUAGGAGCUCCUGCUGCAUGGUGGGGGUUGGAAAGUUUCGGCGGUUGGGGAUGGACUCGCGGCUUAUCAGCUUGUUGGUGGGGUAGUGGCUUACCAAGGCUUUGACGGGUAGCCGGCCUGAGAGGGUGACCGGCCACAUUGGGACUGAGAUACGGCCCAGACUCCUACGGGAGGCAGCAGUGGGGAAUAUUGCACAAUGGGUGGACGCCUGAUGCAGCAACGCCGUGUGCGGGAUGACGGCCUUCGGGUUGUAAACCGCUUUCGCUCAUGACGAAGCUUUGUGUGACGGUAGUGGGUAAAGAAGCACCGGCUAACUACGUG
Molecule: ribosomal RNA, 467 nt
Filed under: uncultured bacterium
Lineage: Bacteria
Description: partial 16S ribosomal RNA
Rfam family: Bacterial small subunit ribosomal RNA
Source: RNAcentral